RNAcentral lists this unclassified non-coding RNA (374 nucleotides) under uncultured fungus. RNAcentral's name for it is "sequence contains ITS1". The stretch from base 1 to 105 matches the Rfam family "5.8S ribosomal RNA", at positions 50 to 154 of the family's 154-position model. Lineage: Eukaryota; Fungi. The record is from RNAcentral.
GAAGUGCGAUAAGUAGUGUGAAUUGCAGAAUUCAGUGAAUCAUCGAACCCUUGAACGCAACUGGCGCCUUCGGGUUAACCUGAAGGCAUGCCUGUUUGAGUGUCGGUUCACCAUCACAUACCAAAAAUAUGUGGAUUUGGCCGAUUAAGUCAAAGGAAACUUUGACUCAUAGGCUUAAAUAGAUAGAUUCAUCGGUUCGUUGACCGGCUCAUUAAUCUGUAACGCUUUAAGUACCCUUCGGGGUCUGAGUUACGGAUAAAAGUCCGGAUCAAAAUACCGAGCUCGAUGAAUAAACGAGACAAAGGGUUACACACCCUUUGAAAUUACCAAAAAACAUCGACCUCAAAUCAGGCAGGGAAACCCGCUGAAUUUAA